UACAGGGGUCCCGAGCGUUGUUCGGAUUCACUGGGCGUAAAGGGUGCGUAGGUGGUGAGGUAAGUCGGAUGUGAAAUCUCCAAGCUCAACUUGGAAAUGGCAUUGGAAACUACCUUGCUGGAGGUUUGGAGGGGGGACUGGAAUUCUCGGUGUAGCAGUGAAAUGCGUAGAUAUCGAGAGGAACACCAGUGGCGAAGGCGAGUCCCUGGACAAAACCUGACACUGAGGCACGAAAGCUAGGGGAGCAAACAGG
Molecule: ribosomal RNA, 253 nt
Filed under: uncultured bacterium
Lineage: Bacteria
Description: partial 16S ribosomal RNA
Rfam family: Bacterial small subunit ribosomal RNA
Source: RNAcentral